RNAcentral lists this ribosomal RNA (967 nucleotides) under Psychrobacter proteolyticus. RNAcentral describes it as "partial 16S ribosomal RNA". It matches the Rfam family "Bacterial small subunit ribosomal RNA", at positions 46 to 1002 of the family's 1533-position model. The record is from RNAcentral. Lineage: Bacteria; Pseudomonadati; Pseudomonadota; Gammaproteobacteria; Moraxellales; Moraxellaceae.
GCUUANACGUGCAGUCGAGCGGAAACGAUGCNNGCUUGCUGGNAGGCGUCGAGCGGCGGACGGGUGAGUAACACUUAGGAAUCUACCUAGUAGUGGGGGAUAGCUCGGGGAAACUCGAAUUAAUACCGCAUACGUCCUACGGGAGAAAGGGGGCAACUUGUUGCUCUCGCUAUUAGAUGAGCCUAAGUCGGAUUAGCUAGUUGGUGGGGUAAAGGCCUACCAAGGCGACGAUCUGUAGCUGGUCUGAGAGGAUGAUCAGCCACGCCGGGACUGAGACACGGCCCGGACUCCUACGGGAGGCAGCAGUGGGGAAUAUUGGACAAUGGGGGCAACCCUGAUCCAGCCAUGCCGCGUGUGUGAAGAAGGCCUUUUGGUUGUAAAGCACUUUAAGCAGUGAAGAAGACCUNANGGUUAAUACCCGUUAGCGAUGACAUUAGCUGCAGAAUAAGCACCGGCUAACUCUGUGCCAGCAGCCGCGGUAAUACAGAGGGUGCAAGCGUUAAUCGGAAUUACUGGGCGUAAAGCGAGCGUAGGUGGNUUGAUAAGUCAGAUGUGAAAUCCCCGGGCUUAACCUGGGAACUGCAUCUGAUACUGUUAGGCUAGAAUAGGUGAGAGGAAGGUAGAAUUCCAGGUGUAGCGGUGAAAUGCGUAGAGAUCUGGAGGAAUACCGAUGGCGAAGGCNGCCUUCUGGCAUCAUAUUGACACUGAGGUUCGAAAGCGUGGGUAGCAAACAGGAUUANAUACCCUGGUAGUCCACGCCGUNNANCGAUGUCUACUAGUCGUUGGGUCCCUUGAGGACUUAGUGACGCAGCUAACGCNAUAAGUAGACCGCCUGGGGAGUACGGCCNCANGNNUNAAACUCANNNAAUNNANUGNCGGNGNCCCNGACACNNGCGGUGGAGCAUGUGGUNUAAUUCNAUGCAACNCNAAGAACCUUNCCUGGUCNUGACAUAUCUAGAANCCUGCA